RNAcentral lists this ribosomal RNA (457 nucleotides) under Amblyomma astrion. RNAcentral describes it as "partial 16S ribosomal RNA". The stretch from base 163 to 457 matches the Rfam family "Bacterial large subunit ribosomal RNA", at positions 2078 to 2619 of the family's 2925-position model. Lineage: Eukaryota; Metazoa; Arthropoda; Arachnida; Ixodida; Ixodidae. The record is from RNAcentral.
CUGCUCAAUGAUUUUUUAAAUUGCUGUGGUAUUUUGACUAUACAAAGGUAUUGAAAUAAGACUUUAAUUGAGUGCUAAGAGAAUGGAUUAACGGAGAAAUUCUUUUUUAAUUUCAAAAAUUAAAGUUAUUUUUGUAAGUGAAGAAACUACAAUAAAAAUUAAGGACAAGAAGACCCUAAGAAUUUUCAAUAAUUUUUGAGCAAUUGUAUUUUUAAAAAUUAUUUUAAUUGGGGCGAUUAAUGAAAAUAAAAAACUUUAUUUAUUGAAAAAAUGAACCAUUAAUAAUGGUUAUAUGAAAAAAAUACUCUAGGGAUAACAGCGUAAUAAUUUUAGAUAGUUCUUAUAGACAAAAUAGUUUGCGACCUCGAUGUUGGAUUAGGAUUCUAAUUUAAUGAAGAAGUUAAAUUAAGAAGUUUGUUCAACUUUUAAAAUCCUACUUGAUCUGAGUUCAGACCGG